Molecule: long non-coding RNA, 230 nt
Filed under: Phoenix dactylifera (date palm)
Lineage: Eukaryota; Viridiplantae; Streptophyta; Magnoliopsida; Arecales; Arecaceae
Description: long non-coding RNA (PDAC_LNC022575)
Source: RNAcentral
GAGAUGACCAGAGCAUAGGCGGUCUUUUCCAGCUUGGAGUAUCGGGUCUCGGCGUCCCUCAAGACCCGGCUGGUGUAAUACACUGGCUUUUGAAGUUUGCCCUCCUCUCGGACCAAGACCGAGCUUACCGCAACAGGGGAGACAGCUAGAUAUAAGUAGAGGAUCUCACCCUGUUGCGGCUUUGUGAGCAGGGGAGGGGAAGCCAGGAGAUGUUUGAGCUUUUCAAAAGA